GUAGGUGGCAAGCGUUGUCCGGAAUUAUUGGGCGUAAAGCGCGCGCAGGCGGUUCUUUAAGUCUGAUGUGAAAGCCCACGGCUCAACCGUGGAGGGUCAUUGGAAACUGGAGAACUUGAGUACUGAAGAGGAAAGCGGAAUUCCACAUGUAGCGGUGAAAUGCGUAGAGAUGUGGAGGAACACCAGUGGCGAAGGCGGCUUUCUGGUCUGUAACUGACGCUGAGGCGCGAAAGCGUGGGGAGCAAACAGGAUUAGAUACCCUGGUAGUCCACGCCGUAAACGAUGAGUGCUAAGUGUUAGGGGGUUUUCCGCCCCCCUUAGUGCUGCAGCUAACGCAUUAAGCACUCCGCCUGGGAGUACGGCCGCAAGGCUG
This 373-nucleotide ribosomal RNA is filed under the name uncultured organism. RNAcentral's name for it is "partial 16S ribosomal RNA". It matches the Rfam family "Bacterial small subunit ribosomal RNA", at positions 527 to 896 of the family's 1533-position model. The record is from RNAcentral.